GACGAACGCUGGCGGCGUGCUUAACACAUGCAAGUCGAACGGGAUUUAGUAGACAGAAGCCUCGGCUAAAGAUUACUAAUGAGAGUGGCGAACGGGUGAGUAACGCGUGAGCAACCUGCCUAUGACAGUGGGAUAGCCUCGGGAAACCGGGAUUAAUACCGCAUAAAAUCGUAGAAACACAUAUUUUAACGGUCAAAGAUUUAUCGGUCAUAGAUGGGCUCGCGUCUGAUUAGCUAGUUGGUGAGAUAACAGCCCACCAAGGCGACGAUCAGUAGCCGGUCUGAGAGGAUGAACGGCCACAUUGGAACUGAGACACGGUCCAAACUCCUACGGGAGGCAGCAGUGGGGAAUAUUGCACAAUGGGGGAAACCCUGAUGCAGCGACGCCGCGUGAACGAAGAAGGUAUUCGUAUCGUAAAGUUCUGUCCUAUGGGAAGAUAAUGACAGUACCAUAGAAGAAAGCUCCGGCUAAAUACGUG
This 478-nucleotide ribosomal RNA is filed under the name uncultured bacterium. RNAcentral describes it as "partial 16S ribosomal RNA". It matches the Rfam family "Bacterial small subunit ribosomal RNA", at positions 28 to 507 of the family's 1533-position model. The record is from RNAcentral.